GUUGGGUGUGGUGGUACACACCUAUAAUCUCUGCCACCAGAAAGGCUAUGGCUUGGAGAUCUUUGGAGCUUGGGAGUUCUGAGCUGCAAUGGACUAUGCCGUUUGGGUGUCCAUACUGUCUGGUAUUGAUAUGGUGAGGCCCCAGAGAGCAGGGGACCACCAUGUUGCCUAAGGAGGGGUGAAUUAGCCCAGGUCAGAAACACAGCAGGCCAAAGCUCUGGUGACAACUAAUAGUGAGAUUAGCCUUUGAGUAGUCUUGAACUUGUCCUGGUGAAAGGGGGAGAGCUU
This 288-nucleotide signal recognition particle RNA is filed under the name Phascolarctos cinereus (koala). Its description in RNAcentral is "Metazoan signal recognition particle RNA (ENSPCIG00000001534.2)". It matches the Rfam family "Metazoan signal recognition particle RNA". From Rfam's summary of the family: The signal recognition particle (SRP) is a universally conserved ribonucleoprotein. It is involved in the co-translational targeting of proteins to membranes. Lineage: Eukaryota; Metazoa; Chordata; Mammalia; Diprotodontia; Phascolarctidae. The record is from Rfam by way of RNAcentral.